CCCUCAAUGCAAUGGAUCAAAUUUUCUCAACUGGAGGACAGGGUAAAGGGGACCCUUCCUGUCCUUCCGGGACAUACUUGAUGGGAUACACCAUGGACUCCUGGAAGGCCUGGAGGAUGAUUGGAAAAUGACCAGGCUGCCGACCGCGGUUGAUGCGCUCACAAAGGCUGUGAGCCAGCAGGGCCAGGAGGAGCCGUAUGCUGGGUGCAAUUGAACGCAGGCUGGCUGCGGUGGUUGAACUCAAAGGAAGUCAUCCUGCAAACUGGAUGUUUCGGACCUUCUCUCCCCUGAAAGGAUCAUCUGAGAACCAAACUGAGCUG
Molecule: long non-coding RNA, 320 nt
Organism: Cyprinodon tularosa
Lineage: Eukaryota; Metazoa; Chordata; Actinopteri; Cyprinodontiformes; Cyprinodontidae
Exons: 3
Source: RefSeq, a predicted model, not a curated record